AGUGAACGCUGGCGGUAGGCCUAACACAUGCAAGUCGAACGGCAGCACAGUAAGAGCUUGCUCUUACGGGUGGCGAGUGGCGGACGGGUGAGGAAUACAUCGGAAUCUACUUUUUCGUGGGGGAUAACGUAGGGAAACUUACGCUAAUACCGCAUACGACCUACGGGUGAAAGCAGGGGAUCUUCGGACCUUGCGCGAUUGAAUGAGCCGAUGUCGGAUUAGCUAGUUGGCGGGGUAAAGGCCCACCAAGGCGACGAUCCGUAGCUGGUCUGAGAGGAUGAUCAGCCACACUGGAACUGAGACACGGUCCAGACUCCUACGGGAGGCAGCAGUGGGGAAUAUUGGACAAUGGGAGCAAGCCUGAUCCAGCCAUACCGCGUGGGUGAAGAAGGCCUUCGGGUUGUAAAGCUCUUUUGUUGGGAAAGAAAAGCAGCAGGUUAAUACCCCGCUGUUCUGACGGUACCCAAAGAAUAAGCACCGGCUAACUUCGUG
RNAcentral lists this ribosomal RNA (492 nucleotides) under uncultured bacterium. RNAcentral describes it as "partial 16S ribosomal RNA". It matches the Rfam family "Bacterial small subunit ribosomal RNA", at positions 29 to 507 of the family's 1533-position model. The record is from RNAcentral.